This 285-nucleotide RNase P RNA is filed under the name Chloroflexota bacterium. RNAcentral's name for it is "Chloroflexi bacterium partial RNase P RNA component class A". It matches the Rfam family "Bacterial RNase P class A", at positions 1 to 273 of the family's 367-position model. Rfam says of the family: Ribonuclease P (RNase P) is a ubiquitous endoribonuclease, found in archaea, bacteria and eukarya as well as chloroplasts and mitochondria. The record is from RNAcentral. Lineage: Bacteria; Bacillati; Chloroflexota.
CGAGGCGGACGGGUGACCGCCGGCGAAGUGAAUAUCGUUGGAGGAAAGUCCGGGCUCCAAAGAGCAGGGCGCUGGGUAACACCCAGUCGGGGCGACCCGAAGGAAAGUGCCACAGAAAUGAACCGCCUGACAGCGUUGAUCUCCGGAGAGGCGCCGUCAGGUAAGGGUGAAAAGGUGGGGUAAGAGCCCACCGGCGGCCGGGUGACCGGCCGGCCAGGUAAACCCCGCCCGGAGCAAGACCAAAUAGGAGGACGUUUUAACGGCGGCUCGCCCAGUCCUCGGGUA